This 460-nucleotide ribosomal RNA is filed under the name uncultured bacterium. RNAcentral's name for it is "partial 16S ribosomal RNA". It matches the Rfam family "Bacterial small subunit ribosomal RNA", at positions 338 to 795 of the family's 1533-position model. The record is from RNAcentral.
CCUACGGGUGGCAGCAGUGAGGAAUAUUGGUCAAUGGGCGCGAGCCUGAACCAGCCAAGUCGCGUGAAGGAUGACUGCCCUACGGGUUGUAAACUCCUCUUAUAAAGGAAUAAAGUGAGGCACGUGUGCCUUUUUGUAUGUACUUUAUGAAUAAGGAUCGGCCAACUCCGUGCCAGCAGCCGCGGUAAUACGGAGGAUGCGAUCGUUGUCCGGAUUUAUUGGGUGUAAAGGGAGCGUAGAUGGGUUGUUAAGUCAGUUGUGAAAGUUUGCGGAUCAACCGUAAAAUUGCAAUUGAUACUGGCAGCCUUGAGUACAGUUGAGGUAGGCGGAAUUCGUGGUGGAGCGGUGAAAUGCUUAGAUAUCACGAAGAACUCCGAUGGCGAAGGCAGCUUACUAAACUGCCACUGACAUUGAUGCUCGAAAGUGUGGGUAUCAAACAGGAGUAGAUACCCCUGUAGUC